UAUGGGUAUACACUCAGGAUCAGUCUAAAAUAAUUUUUUUUGAUAUUGAUUUUUUUCUCUAAAAAAAAUCAACCUGUGAAUCUGAACGAAGUCUGGAUCGCGAUCAACUUUUUGAUCCUUUCCUUGAUCUUCUUCUUCUUUUACUUUUCUUUCCUUGAUUAUGAAGCAAUCAGAGACUAAAAAUUAGCAAAUAAAAGGGAUGCCCAAACUCCUUUGGG
This 218-nucleotide long non-coding RNA is filed under the name Elaeis guineensis (African oil palm). RNAcentral's name for it is "long non-coding RNA (EGUI_LNC079913)". Lineage: Eukaryota; Viridiplantae; Streptophyta; Magnoliopsida; Arecales; Arecaceae. The record is from RNAcentral.